Molecule: ribosomal RNA, 253 nt
Filed under: uncultured bacterium
Lineage: Bacteria
Description: partial 16S ribosomal RNA
Rfam family: Bacterial small subunit ribosomal RNA
Source: RNAcentral
AACGUAGGUUCCGAGCGUUAUCCGGAUUUACUGGGCGUAAAGCGCGUUCAGGCGGUUUGGCAAGUCGGGCAUGAAAUCUCUCGGCUCAACCGGGAGAGGUUGUCCGAUACUGCUGGACUUGAGGGCAGUAGAGGGUGGUGGAAUUCCGGGUGUAGUGGUGAAAUUCGUAGAUAUUGGGAGGAACACCGGUGGCGAAGGCGACCACCUGGACGAAGACUGACGCUGAGGCGCGAAAGCGUGGGGAGCAAACAGG